AAUUACUGAAAUUAAGGCUGAAUUUGUCAAAUUUCAAAGGAAGAUCUAACACACGACCCUAACCUUCCAGGUGACCAAUCUCUACCACUACUCUGGCAUCCUUCAAUGAAGACAUGGAAACUGUAGGCCUCUUAUCCUCAGAACAAGGGGUCUUGAUCAUAUGAAUUGCCUCAAACGCCUGAAACGGAUUUUCAUGUACCUCUCUCUCA
Molecule: long non-coding RNA, 209 nt
Filed under: Lathyrus oleraceus (garden pea)
Lineage: Eukaryota; Viridiplantae; Streptophyta; Magnoliopsida; Fabales; Fabaceae
Description: Pisum sativum (pea) long non-coding RNA (PSAT_LNC019779)
Source: RNAcentral